GACGAACGCUGGCGGCGUGCCUAAUACAUGCAAGUAGAACGCUGAAGGAGGAGCUUGCUUCUCUGGAUGAGUUGCGAACGGGUGAGUAACGCGUAGGUAACCUGCCUGGUAGCGGGGGAUAACUAUUGGAAACGAUAGCUAAUACCGCAUAAUAGCAGUUGUUGCAUGACAACUGUUUGAAAGGUGCAAUUGCACCACUACCAGAUGGACCUGCGUUGUAUUAGCUAGUUGGUGGGGUAACGGCUCACCAAGGCGACGAUACAUAGCCGACCUGAGAGGGGGAUCGCCCACACGGGGACUGAGACACGGCCAAGACUCCUACGGGAGGCAGCAGUGGGGAAUUUUCGGCAAGGGACGGAAGUCUGACCGAGCAACGCCGGGGGAGUGAAGAAGGUUUUCGGAUCGUAAAGCUCUGUUGUAAGAGAAGAACGAGUGUGAGAGGGGAAAGUUCACACUGUGACGGUAUUUUACCAAAAAGGGACGGCUAACUACGU
RNAcentral lists this ribosomal RNA (494 nucleotides) under uncultured bacterium. RNAcentral describes it as "partial 16S ribosomal RNA". It matches the Rfam family "Bacterial small subunit ribosomal RNA", at positions 28 to 506 of the family's 1533-position model. The record is from RNAcentral.